This 497-nucleotide ribosomal RNA is filed under the name uncultured bacterium. Its description in RNAcentral is "partial 16S ribosomal RNA". It matches the Rfam family "Bacterial small subunit ribosomal RNA", at positions 28 to 507 of the family's 1533-position model. The record is from RNAcentral.
GAUGAACGCUGGCGGCGGGCCUAAUACAUGCAAGUCGAGCGAACGGACGAGAAGCUUGCUUCUCUGAUGUUAGCGGCGGACGGGUGAGUAACACGUGGAUAACCUACCUAUAAGACUGGGAUAACUUCGGGAAACCGGAGCUAAUACAGGAUAAUAUUUUGAACCGCAUGGUUCAAAAGUGAAAGACGGUCUUGCUGUCACUUAUAGAUGGAUCCGCGCUGCAUUAGCUAGUUGGUAAGGUAACGGCUUACCAAGGCAACGAUGCAUAGCCGACCUGAGAGGGUGAUCGGCCACACUGGAACUGAGACACGGUCCAGACUCCUACGGGAGGCAGCAGUAGGGAAUCUUCCGCAAUGGGCGAAAGCCUGACGGAGCAACGCCGCGUGAGUGAUGAAGGUCUUCGGAUCGUAAAACUCUGUUAUUAGGGAAGAACAUAUGUGUAAGUAACUGUGCACAUCUUGACGGUACCUAAUCAGAAAGCCACGGCUAACUACGUG